UUCUCCUCUCUCUCUCUCUCUCUCUCUCUCUCUCUCUCUCUCUUUUCCCCAAAUCAGCUUCUUAAUUAAUAUUUGCAUUGUGGUUUCAUUUCAUAUUCAUUUUCCUCCUAAAUUUCUUCCUUUCACUUUUUUUUUUAAUGUCUAAAAGGUGGAAGACCUGAUUGCCAUCAGAGAAUUUAUUCAGUGAAAUACUUCAUUGAUCAAAGCUAUAGGCGGACCUGACUGGUUUCAUAUCAUUUUCAUUUGCCGAUUCAAUUAAGGAACCGAGGCAGAUAGAACCAGAUCAAUACAAGAGAGAGAGAGAGAGAGAGAGAGAGAGAGAGAGAGAGAGAGAGAGAGAGUAUAUUACCAAGAAAAAAUGGAUAUUAUCAAUAAGAGAGAUUACGUUUUCAAGAAAAAAGGGAGAGAGAAAAUUAUUUUAUUUUAUUUUUAUGAGAGAGAAAAUAAAAUUAAUGAUUGUUUAUUUAAAACAUUAAAACUAUUUGUCAUGUUAGAUUUAUUCUCAACCAUUAAAAGUAGAGUAAUCUAAUGGCCCAAAAAUUGUGUCAAAACUUUUGUCAAAAAUAUGGUGCCACGGAUCCACUAUAUAUAUAUAUAUAUAUCACAAAACAUCCUGAGGUUCACACACCUAUUACAAAUUAGGGCUAGACAAUUAAACCAUCAACUCAAAAAAUCGGCCGAACCAAACCGAUCAGAUUAGUUUGGUCUGAUUAUUUAUUUGUUAAUUAUUUAAUAUCGGGUUUUGGUUUACAAUUUGAGAUUUUAAAUGAACCGGACCUUCACUAUUGGCAAGCCAAAUAUUACAAAAAUAUAUAUAUAUAUUUUGCAACAAUGGGGUUCAAAAACCCCACACCUCCAGGUAAGAAUUAUUCUUGCUUUCCACUGGAGCAAUCAAGCUUCUUGUGUAAUCUUUCCAUAAAUAUGAUAUAUAAUUAGUUACUCCCAAUAAUAAAUAUUUUUAAAAAAAAAAAAGUGAGAGCAUGCAAGUAAACAUUAUGCAUGCACAUCUGCACUGAAACCAACGUUCUAAUUCUUUUUCUUCUCCUCAUAUCUCACCUCUCUCUACGCCCUCAUUUUUUAUUUUUUUUCCCCAUCUUCUUCUUCAUUCAGUCACUUUCCAUCUCUCCCUCUCUUUUUAUUUAUUUUUCCUUCUUCUCUUUCUCUCUCUUUCUUUUCUUCCUCCUCCUUCCCUCUUUUGCGUUGUCUCCCAUGUCUCUCUCGUUUUUCUAUUUUUUCCAUGCUCUCUCUUCUUUCUAGGGGUGGGCACUCAAACCGGCGAACCGGAAAUCCGAGCCGAACCGCACCGAACCAAACCGGAAAAAAACCGAGUUGACCAAAAAGUCAAAAACCGGUCAAAAACCGAACCGGACCGGUUUGGACCGGUUCCGGAUCCGGUUCCAUGUCUUCAAAAACCGAACCGGGCCGAACCGAACCGGUGAAACUAAAAAAAUAUAUAAUUUCAAUAUAUAUUUAUAUUUAAUGCUAUAUUUUUAAUUUCACUAAAAAAAACAUAAUAUUUAUCCAAGUUCAAUGUCAAAAUCUCUCUCUUUUCUCACUUUAAUAUUUAUUUUUUAUAUGAAAUUGAAUAAUUUGUUAAUUUUCAAGUAAAAAAAUAAUAUUUCAGUUGAGAAUUGUAUUAAAAAAUAAUUUAAAAAAAUAAUUUUUAUAAUCCGGUUCAAAACCGAACCGGAACCGAAACCGGACCGGAACCGGUUCAAACCGAACCGGACGGUUUUUGAAAUUUUUUUUAUUAAAACCGAACCGAACCAAACAGAAUGAAUAGUAUCGGAUCGGUUCUAAUUUGAGGCAAAAACCGGUCCAAACCGAACCGUGCCCACCCCUACUUCUUUCUAUUGUUUUCCAUCGCUCUCUCUUCUCUUCCUUCUUCUCCGUCUUCUUCCUGCGGUCUCUGUCUUCUUCUUUUUCUAUUUUUUCCCUUCUUCUUCUUCCUCUCUUCCCUAUCUCAAUCUCUCCUUAUGUCUAUUUUUUCCCAGCCUACUUUUUCUCUCUUCGGCCUAAACCCGAAACCGAACCAAACCAAAUCACAAACUUCGGUUAACUAGAAUGGUCGGUUUCACAAGUUAUGGUUCGGUGCACGAUUUUCAAAAUAGCUAACCCGAAGCCUUCUGUUCGGUGUUCAGGUUGAGCCUAAAACCGAACCAAUCCAGACCGAGCCCACACCUAGCACAAAUGGUCCUUGCGAACUUUUUUUAUUUUUUCAUUUAAAAUUCAUAAAAUUUUGGUUUUCUUUUUAAAAUUAUUUUAAAACAUAUAUUGUAUUUUAAAUACACAUGACACUAUAUUAUCAUAGAUGUAGGCUCCAUAUAUAUGCCACAUCAACAAACUAAUGAAAUUUUUAAAUGAUCCUCAAGGUUAAAAUCCUUCUAUAAAUAAGUUUUUUUAUAUUCCAUCUCCAUUGUAAAACUCUGUUAUCUAUCUCUCAUUUCAGGAUUUGAAAUAAGAAUCUCCAUAAUAUUAGUUCCAUUAAAAUCUCGGUAAAAUGAAAUUGCCAAGCCAAGAUGAGCCCAUUAGAUGAUUCUGACCCAUACAGAACAUCUGAACUAAAAAGAUUGGAUAAAAUACAGCCACAUUUCAUAUGCAUGCCACCUCUGGUAUUUGGAAAAGUUUGUCUCCCUGAUUUGUGGUCUUGGUGAAGCUCUCACAUUUAUCUAAAAUGCCGGGAGUGUAAAUUCUCUCUCCUCCAAAAAAAAAAACAUAAGAUUUUGCUGUGGCCACUAAAUAAUAUGAAAACUUCUUUACAUUUGAUUAUAGUUGAAUAUGAUGAAUAGGGUAUACUUAUUAAAAUAUAUUUAUUUUACAAUUCAAUAUAUCUUAUUUGUUCAUUUUAUAUUAGGAUAAAUUAGUAAUUCAAUAAAUACUUUAGUAGUAGGGUGUACUCAAUUAAUUUUAGGGUUUGUUCAGUAGCACUCUUCAGUUAAUCAUAUUCUAUCUGCUAUCAAACCACUGUUGUUGAGAACUUCUAGUAGUUGUAUUUUCUGGUUAUCAAAUUCUAGUAGUUAUUCAUUACUCCCAUUUAGCAAAUGUUAGUUGCAAUCAAUUUCAAGUUGCAACGACCUCUACUCUCUAGUAGUUAUUUAGUUUUACCCCUCUCGUUUAUAUUAAUUAUCUUUCAUCCAUUCUUCAUUCCCAUCUCUCUCUCUCUCUCUCUCUCUCUCUCUCUCUCUCACAUAAUCACCCUGGCAACUUUCUAUACCACAUUACAAGCUUUGAUUAAUUCCUCUUAAUUAACCAUGGAAAUUAAUGCAAAAGCUCAACACCGCUCAACCACAGAGCCAUUGCUCCCAAUUUCACGCAACCCUUCAAACCCAUCGUGUCCAGUCAAUCGCAUCCCAAUCCAUUGCAAGAUUAGUACACGUCCACCGCAUUCUAUUACUUGCAUUAGGGACAUUCACAUUGUUAUGCGUCUUCAUGCUCCCGCCCACACAGACCCCAAAAAUCCAACUCGACUCACUCUUCAUGUCCAAGCUUAACGUUUCAAACACGUCACUAGAGGCCAAUUGGGACAUGGCCUUCACCGUAGAAAACCCCAAUAUGGUCUCUUGGGUUUAAUUCAACCGCAUAGAGGGUUCAAUUCUGUACAAGGGCAACCCUCUCGCGACAUACUCUGUUGAGCCAUUUGACUUGGGAUUGAAGGAACAAAGAUUGAUGCGUGUGAAGAUAUCAAGGACCGGAUUACAGGAUGAGCCGGAGAUGAAGGUGUCGGAUUUGGAAGAAAUGAAUAAGCAACGUGAAGAUGGUGCUGUGAGUUUGAAGAUGGAAAUGUUUGCAUGGGCUACGUAUAAGAAGGGUUGGUGGGGAACAGAAGAUGUCAUGAUGGAGGCUCACUGUUUGGAUUUGAGGGUUGGUUUCUUGCCUAAAUUUGGGUUCGGUUGCUGUAUCAGCCUAAGGCCGAUGACUUGCUCUACUGGUUCGUAUGCUAGUUGGUUAAAUCGGAAAGUUGUUGAUUUUUUCUUUAGGCAGGACUAGGGUUUUUAGUCUGAGAUUGUAAUUUGAUGGAUGUAGAUGAAGCCUGUAAAUUAUGAACAAGGAAGAACUUGUCUUUUCUUCUCAAGGGAAUGCAUGCAUCAAAAUUGGAGACAAUGUCAACAUUCUUUUUUAUCUUUAUCCAUGUGUAAAUUGAAAAAGGAUAUCACAAUUACAAAACCUUCCACUAAACGUUUGUGGCUAUAUUUUUAAUCAAAUCAUAAGAAAAAAAAAAUUCACCACACACAAAGAAAUUGAACAUAUAUAAGAUCUCUAGAAUGGUGUAUACUUCCGUGUGUUUCGAGAAUAUAUUAUAUAUGAAACUCUUUUUCAUUAUAAAAUUUAACAAAAAGACGUAAAUUAUAAAAAAUUAAAAAUGCACGAACCAAAAAACUUAAGUGGUACCUAGUCAAACCUCGUCCAAUCAAACUCACCAUCAACUAUUAUAAACUUAGGUUGGGUAAUUUUUCAAUGUGAGACAAACUCUCAACAAACCCAGCCAAUCAAUCUGAGUGAGAUCGACUAACCGAGAGAGAGAGAUGUUGAGAAAUGUUUUGGCGGAACAGAUUCUCCAAUUUUGGAAACACAAUUUCAUUCUUUUGUUUUCACUUUCGAAAAUAAUUUGUGAAAACAUUUCCAAAAAAUGGUGCCGAACUUUUCUACAUUGAUAGGGAAAACAACCUUAAUGAUAGUGUUUGGUCUACUUUUUACUCAGAUUAUAGGUAAAGACUCUCGCUCCUAAUUAUAUGUGUUUGACUUGGUUUAGAUCUUCCAUGCACUGUUUUGUCUAAUAAAUUGAAGUGCUAAAAAGAGCAUUUUAAUUUUUUAAUUUUUUAAUUUUUAUUUUUUUUUGAGGCGGCUUAUAAAUGUCAGAGAUGGCCCCCUUGAUACUUCAACAAACCUUGCAACUCAGGUAAAUCAUGUACGAAUAUAUUCGUUAAUUUUUUUCUCUCACGUAUGAUUAAGUAUGUAGGUUGACACUUGAACAACCUUCUAUUUCUAGAGUUUUCGCUCAGCUAACCAUUUUAUUUGUUAUCAAAUGACUGACAUUUAGAAAAUCCAGUAGUUAUUCGUUAGUCCCUUUUAGCAAAUGUUAGUUGGACUCAGUUUCUGUUUAUAACCUUCUAUUCUCUAGUAGUUAAUUAGCUUUACCCUUCUCCUUUAUAUCAACUUUCCUUCCCCCAUUUCUUCAUACCCAUCUCUCUUUCUCCCCGAAACCCUAGUAAGCUGGAUUAUUGCAUCACAAGCAUAAGUUUCUAUUAACCAUGGAUUCUAAUAGAACAGCACAGCGCUCAGCCACAAUGCCACUACUCCCAGUUUCAUACAACCCUUCAAUUUCAAACCCCAACAUAUCUCUGUCUAUCACAUCUCGAUUCACUGCGAAACUAGUACUUCUCCACCGGAUUUUGUUGUUCGUGUUAGGGAUCGUCACGUUGCUAUGCGUAGCCAUGGCCACAUCCUUAGUUCCACAGCCCCCGAAAAUCAAACUCAACUCUCUCUUGGUGUCGAAAAUUAACGUCUCAAACACAAAGCUAGGGGCCAACUUUGACGUGGCCUUCACAAUAGAGAACCCUAAUCUAGUCUCGUGGAUUUACUUUGACCACAUCGAUGGUUCGAUUUCUUACAAAGAUAACGCUCUCAUAACAUACUCGUUGGACCCUUUUGUACUGGGAUUGAAGGAACAUAGAAUGAUGCGUGUGAAGAUAUCCGUGAAUGGAUUACAGGAAGAUCAGCCGGUUGUGAAGGAGAGGGUUUUGGAAGAAAUCCAUAGGCAACGUGAAGAUGGUGCUGUGAAUUUCAGCCUGGAAAUGUUUGCACGGGCUACGUAUAGGACCGGUUGGUGGGGGACAAAGUCUGUUUUAAUGAACCCUCAAUGUUUGGAUUUGAGGGUUGGCUUCUUGCCUAAAGUUGGUUUCGGAAGCUGGAUUAGUGGAGGGCCUAUGACUUGCGCAGUUCCAAUGCUAAUUGAUGACUAAAUUUGAAUUUCUUUUCCCUUUUUCAAGUUACCUAGCUAGGCUUUUUGGUUUUAGUUACAAGGGAGCCUAAAUUAAGCCUUUUAAUUGGAGGUUGUAAUGUAAUGUUACUAUCUAGUAGGAUCUUGCAAAUUAAAAGUAGAGUUGAGCUUUGUUUCCAACGGGCACUAAAAAAAAAUCAGCAAUAGUCACCUUUUUUUUCCGUGACUUUUGAAAGCAUUGGUCACCUUUAUUGGUAACUAAAAGCUUUAGUAACGAUGCAGCUACAAAUUUUGAGUUGGUGAGAUUUGUGACCAUUACUAUUGGCCUUUAUCACCAUUAAUAAAGAAAGUGACAAACAAAAUGUUGACUUUUCAGUUACCUUUACACUUAUAUUUUUUUAUUUUUUUUAUCUUUAAUUAGUUUAAUAAUUUUCUGAAUUAUAUAUGUUUUAAAUAAUUACAAUUUCCUUUUGAUAUACUUUAAUGGCAUAAUAACAAUAAUUCCUUUUUUUUCUUUUUUUUCUGAUAAGAUAAUAAUAAUAAUUCCUUGAUAAUGCACUUCAUGUGUAAAAGAGGCCUCUAAUAUUAUUAUUUAAUUAAAUAUAAAUACUCAAUUGAUACAUAAUGGUAAUUAAGUAGUACAAUAUUUUCCUAAUGAAUACAAAAUUUGUACAAUCCUAUGCAAACAAUAAUACAUACACGCCUAAGAAGACCUGUAGCUAGUACUUUCUAAUCCAAGCACUCCUCCGAUCCUACCAUACAAACGAAUGAAGCAACUGAAGUGUCCUCCAUUCCUGCAAUUGAAGUGUCCACCAUUCCUGUAAGUAAAUCCAAAUGACAAAGAAUGAAAUUAAAGAGUCCCAAGUACUAGAAGUUAGUAGAUAUUCAAGCUUAAGGAAUUACAACCUCACCCUCUUCUUUUGUAGUUGGUAGCAUUAAACGUUCAUUUGUCUAUGGUGAAGGGAUCUGAUCAUUGUUUGUAGUGAACUAAUAGUAGUUCACAUAUCAUAGUUCAAGAAGAAGUUAGAGGUAGAGCAAGGGCAUAGUUCAAAUAGGGAAAGAAAGAGAAAAGGGAAGAUCAAAAUAAAAUAAAAUCUAAGAAAAUAAAAAUCUUGUAGUAAUCUAAAUGAAUAACCCCAACCCACCAAUGUUCAAGGGAAGAGAAACUCAGAUAAAAUAACAUCUUUACAACUCAGAAAUAGAAAAGGUGAAUUACAAAGAGUAUAUUAAUAAAAUAGAAUAAAUUUAAACGGACCUGGGAAUAGAGGUGCCUCUAGCAAUUCCACUGCCCCUGCAGAACUUGAUCUUCCUACAUCAUAGAAUAUCAAAGAAUAUAUUAAUAUAUAAAAAAGUAGAAAGAAAAAAACUUAUACAUAAAACAAAAUACAAGGAAAGUCAUGACUGAAGCAAGCCCUACUCUAGCUCUCAGAUCUGAGAUAUAACAUCUCAUAUUUGAGAUUUAAUCUAAAAGGACCUCCCAGAGCCAAAGAAACUCGCUAGAAAAACUAGGGAGAAAUAACAAACUCUGUCAAAAGCAAGGAGAUAACCAAAAAAAAUGGAGGGAUCGGGGUGAAAACCACCGGAUCUAAAAAGAAAAAAGGGGUUGCUGGGUUGUUUUGAGAGAGAAGAGCUUAUAAAAGAAAAGGGGUUGCUGGGUUGUUUUGGGUUGUCAAAAGCAAGCCCUUUAGAAAUUCAACUAGAUCAAGUAAUCUCACACUUUAAAGAAAAUGGGUUACUUUAAUGGUUAACCAAUGUAAUAUUUAAUUCUUUUUUUAUACGUAUUUCCAUUUUUAAUGUGUUCUAUACAUAUUUAAUUGGAUUACUAUUCUCAAGGAAGAUUAUCCUCAAAUAUUAUAUUUAACAAAUUACUGCUAUGUGUCAGUUGGUUUACAUUUAUUAUAUUUAAAUCAAUAGUCACCAAUUCUUUAAAGUGUGAGAUAAUUAGUCACAAAUAAUGGUGACUAGUAACCAAAGUCAUUAAUCACCCAUUCAAAUGUCACCAAAACUAUUUUGUUGCUAUAAAAAUGUGACUAAUGCUUUCUUUUUUUGUAGUGGGGAAUCUAUCAAAAUAGAAGUAAAGUUAUAUACGUACAAAUAUUUUGGUGAUAUUGUCUCAUGGAAGACGCAUAAAACCAUGUCUCUGUGAAAUUUUUAGAUGCUUGUAAAAAGCCUCUUCUACGUGGAUGUAUUACCUAAACUUGAUCGAGGACACUUUUUAUUCACAUACUAAGAAAUAUUUUAACUAGAUGCCUUCAAAAUAUAGUUAACUAAAUAGAGGCCUUCACUACACAUGCCAAAAUUUAAAAAGGAACAGAUGGAUUUGUGGAAUUUGGACAUCUAAUUCUAUUAUAUUUGUUUCUGUAUAAGCACUACAAGUUUGAAAUUGGCACAAUAAACUUUAGAUGAACUCUCAAAAUGAAACCGUUUUUGGGGUGUUUUGUUGUGCACUCUAGCGAUGUGGAAAUACUCGCUUGACCUAGUUUGAUGUCGAAUUACUUGGAAGUAAAUAGCUUUGAAGAAAGUUGAGGUUGAAACUUAAGUUUGGAUACUUCAUAAAGAAAUUUGGCUUUAAAAUGACUAUGGGUGCUUAAAAUCCAAUCAAAAUGGCCUAAACUGACUAAUCCAGUCCAAUCAAAUGCACUUUUGAUCAUUUUGAAGGCCUUAGGCAGGUUGAAUAUAGAUAGUUGUGUUCAUACUUUUUUGCUCUCAUACACGUGCGAUUGAAUAAAUUUUGAUUAAUUUUAAGUCAAUCAAAGUUAUGUUUAGUCCAUUUGAGAUCCUGUAGGGGCUUUUUCUUUUCGGCAGCUACUGUGGGCCUAGGCUGCUGUAAAGAGCUAAAUGUGUAAAAAUUGUCUCUGGGUCUGAGUUCAAGAAUUAGGCCCCGAGAAUGCUUCGAAAGGGUAGCUAAGCCUUAGGAAGCACCUUGGUUACCUUCACUAACAAAACUAACAGUUACUUACAGAUAAAUUCUUAGCUUUGACAUGAUAGACUUGUGGUAUGGAAGCAAAGCAAUCAUGAGUUUAGCAUUGAAGAGAGAGAGAGUUGUGAGUUCAUAUGAGAAACAUGGGUUCUAAGGAGAAGGGGAAGGGAUUCUAAGUGGGUUUUUUGAAGAGAGAGAGGGAUGAGGGUAUAUUAGGUGUGUUGAGUAGUUUCCGGCAGCUCGAUGAAAACUCUGUCAAACUUUGGAACAGUUUACCAAAAGGAAAAAUGGGGAGAGAUGGAAGGAGAUGAGGCUCGAAAUUGCAGAGGUUUCAGAGGUGAGAGAUAAAACUUGCUUUCCAGAUAUGUGUUGUUUGGGAUAAAGAAGAAGGAGAUAGAAGGUGAGGCACUUGGGCUUGAUGUUUCCAGCAGUUGGAGAAUAAGCUUGCUCAACUGCUCUGGUUGAGUUUAAUGAGUAGGAGGUACCUUCUUUUAUAGCCGCUAGAAGCUCCUCCUUCUCAAGAAACCCUAAUGGGUUCUCUCCAAUUUUGCCAAGUCUCCCCUUUCACCCCUUUCAUUUCUCUUCUCUCCCUUCGAUCCAUCCCAUUUUGUGAAAUUCUCUUCUGCCCAAUACUUUAUCAGAUUUUUGGGAAUUCAGAAGUUUUCCCGCAGCCAUUCCAGUGGUGAUUUCUUAUUUUUGGCUAUCAUCUCUCAUCCUUUCCUCCCUUAUUUCAUGGCAAGAUCUGGUAAAGGAAGGAGAUAGGUAAAUUUGGCUAGUCUGAAGGCUGCCUUUUCUCUUGCGCGCACCAAUAUCCUCUGGUUUUUUGAGCGAUCUGCCUUAAGGUUUGUUUUGCCCACUUGCUAGAGCCUCCCAGCAGUUCACAUACAUGGGCAACUUUGGCUUUUGUCUUGGCUUUUGUCUCCAGCUAAGUGAUGGAGAUUGCAGAUAUUUUGCUUGGUUGCUUGGGCCUUCCUAAGGUGAUGGGUUAACCCAUUAAGGGAAUGGGCUAAUUUCCUAAAGUGAUAGGCUAUUUUAUUGAGAUGAUGGGCUAAUUUUUCCUAAAAUAUUGGGCUAUUUCUCUCCUUUAUUCUUACCCACAUAUUUGAGCUCAAGAAAUGGGCUUGAGUUUUAGGGCUCUCAAGCAACCCAAAACUUCCAUUUCUCGGCUCAUCAAUAAGCCUCAUGAAAGCUCAUUACCAUCCAUACCACAACCCACUCAGCAAGCCCCGAGCAUUUUUCAUGGCUUGGGCCCACUUAAACUUGUAGCGUGGCUAGGUAAAUAAUAAUGAUUUUUCGCUUGGCAUUGCAUAUCGUUUGGCAUGCUUGAAUUUUGUCGCUUUGAAGAGGGAUAUGAAGCUUGACAGGAUAAUUAGCUUGGGGUCGUAAAGCCAGUGCUUAUUUCAACUCUUAGCAUGACAGAUUACAUAUUUAUUUGGCAUGGCACGUGGAUCAUGACUCGUGCAAGCGUGAAUGACAAACCUUCGCGUGCUCCAAAUCAGGUCUUUUUUUUAAUAAAGCAUUGCUUUGGGUCGGAAAUUUAUUUGGGUCAACCCUGAAUUUUUUGGGCCUCAACAGAUCCAAAACACUCUUACUUACAAUUUAAUUUUUACUUCACAUUCAUUUAUAUAUAUGUAAUUUGAUUAGAUAAUAUAUUGAAUGCUACGUCACCAAUUAAUUUAUCAAUAUUCACUCGUCACAUCAUAUUUAUUUUUAACAUCCUCAACUUUCUAAUUUAGUAUUUGUGGUAAUUCAAGAGCCACCGCAACAAUUUCGUCCCAGCAUCACGCUGCUGCCACCACCUGCCACUCCCCAACGGUUAACCAAACAAUGUAUAAGUUCAGGUUAUGAACCGUUGCGAAAUCACCGUGAAUUAACUUCAUUUGCUUUAACUAAUGAUGUUUAAUGGAUAUCACUAUUCAAGCAAACUAACAGUUUUAUCGGUUAUCAAAUUAAUGAAGUUUAGAAAUCUUCUUUCGCAUGUUUGUUAGAAUCUAGUUAUUCAGGUUUUUAACCGUUUUUGGUAGUUAUUUAGUUUUUUUUUAACAAUCUCUAGUGGUUUACAGUUUCCAUGGCCUUCUACUUUAUAUCCCAACUCUCUCACACAUUUCCACAAACCCAUCUCUCUUUCUCUCUCAAUUUCCUAUCAUCAGCCGUGGAAAUUAAUGCAAAAGCUGAUCAGCACUCAGCUACCAUGCCCCUACUCCCAGUUUCAUAUAGCCCGUCAAACGACAACGUUUCGCAGUCUGUUAAAUCAAGACGCAUUUCCAAAUUAUCCGUCUUCCAACCCAUUAUUCUAUUAUCACCUACAUUAUUAAUAUUUGGGACCUUGGCAUUGCUGUGCAUUUUCAUGUCCUUAUUGUCCCAAGUUCAUCCACAAGCCCCAAAUGUCCAACUAAACUCGCUCUUCAUGUCCAAAUUUAACAUCUCCAACACAACAUUGGGGGCUAAUUGGGACAUGACCCUUACAAUAGACAACCCCAACCUGCUCACAUGGGUUCGUUUCAACCACAUCAAGGGUUCAAUGUCGUACAAAGAUAACAUCCUCGCGAUAAGCUCCAUCGAGCCAUUCAUGUUGGGAUUGAAGGAACGAAGAACGGUGAGGGUGAAGAUAUCGACGAUGGGGUUGGGGGAAGAGGAUCGUGAUCAUCAGCUGGUGGUGAAGAAGAGGGUUUUGGAUGAGAUGAUGAGCAAGAGACGUGAGGAUGGAGCUGUGCAUUUUAGCAUGCAAAUGUUUGUUUGGGCCACGUAUAGGACUGGUUUGUGGGGGACACAACAAGAUGUUGUGAUGAGCCCUCAGUGUUUGGAUUUGAAGGUUGGGUUCUCGCGUGGAAUUGGGUUCGGGAGUGGGAUUAGUGGAGGGCCUAUGAUGUGUUCUGUUCCUAUAUUAAUUAAUUGACCAAAUUAGACUUUUUCUUUCUUUUUUCAUGUAGAGGUUUUUAGUUUUAGAUUGUUAAUUUGAUCGAUGUAGGAGAAUCAAAAUCGAACCUGUAAAUUAAGAACAAAGAAAUGAAUUGUUUUACGCAUCAAAAUUGAAGGUGAAUAUGAACGUGAUGUUAUGAAAUUCUUUGAUGAUCUUUGUCUGGACUUGGAUAAAUAAAAAAGUGUAUACUAGUGAUUUAUCUUAUGAAUUUGUACUUAACUUUUGAUUUGCCCUAUCUUUUUUUUUAAAGAAAAUUAAGGAUAUAAACUUUUUUUUUCCGUCAAUUUCUCCCUUACCGUCUAAAUCCACAACAUUUCAUCUAAUUUGUCGUUAAAUAUGAGGGCAAAUUGGUCAUGUUGUACUUCUAAAAUAAAAUAAUUUGAACUUUGAAAUAAUAAUAAAUAAUGAUAGGAAAAAAAAAGGUUUUUUUUUUUUUUUUUUUUUUAAGAGUAGAGAAAAUGUCAUCCUCAGACUUCCUAUUAGCCUCUGAAUUUCUGCUUACCAACUCCACUUCCUAUAAGCUUCAUACCAACCCCUUUCUUCCCCAAAAUUGAACACAUCCCAUACAACAACACCAAAACCUCCACCAUAUAUUUGAACAAAAUCCCCCAUAUGUACUUAUUUGAACACACACAAAAAACCCAGAUCCAUUUGAUCAAAAAUCGCACAAGGGGCAGAGGGGUUGUGGUGAGGUGGGUGAUUUUGUGGUGUCAGGGAUGGACCUGGGGUUUGGGGGAAGAGAGAGAGAGUGUGUGAUGGUUGUGGGGUGGUGGCUGUGGGAGGGUGAGUUGUUGAGAGAGAGAUGGAGAUUGCGAUGGAUAAAGGGGUGGUCGUGGGUUUAAGGGUGUGUUGUGAAAAGGAAGGCAGCGACGGUGGGAAGGGGGGAUGGGUUGCGAAUUAGUCUUGGGGUGAGUUGCAGGUGGGAAAUGGGUAGUCAGGUUGGGGAAGAAAAAGAGAGAAGGGAGGGGGGUUCUGUGGGUAGGAUAGGUUUUUGUUUUGUUCCUUUUUUUUAUAAUUUUUUCUAAAAAUAUAAAUUUUAUUUUAAUAAUUUAACUGAAAAUUGGAUGCAAUGUUGAUGAUUUAGACGGUAGGGAGAAAAUUGGAGAAAAAAAAAUUUUAUAUUUUUAAUUUUCUAAAAAAAAAAUGAUAGGGGGUCAAUUGAAACCAAGGUAUAAGUCAAGGGACAAAUCACUAGUAUACCAUAAAUAUUUCACUACAUAAAUGAAAUAAACAGAAGAUUUCUAGAAUUUACACGUGCUCUUACAGAAAUUUCAUUAAGUAUUUGGUGUGCAAAUGAAUUUUUAUUAAUUUACUAGAGUCACCCUGAAAAUAAAAUAAUUAUCAGAAUAUAACUCAAAUUUAAAUCUCCUUUUUUUCUAUUAAAAACAACUAAUCCUCCUCGUAAAAAUAUUUACUCUCCUCAUUGUUUUUCGGUUGGAUCCUCCACUUACAUUAUAAUUGUAAUUUAUGCUAAUAGGGUCUAGUUCAGUUAAAAAAUACUUUGAUUUGCAAACUAUUGGUCUCAAGUUUGAAUCAUAUAGCACCGUGAUAGGUCUAUAUGAGAAACCCCACUCUCUAUAGUUUGGACAAAAAUUAUUGAUAUUUGAUCUAUCCUUUCAGAUGUACUUGACUCUUUCCAAACUAUUUGCACUUGUGAAAGGACACGAACUGCAAACAUCACUUCGUUUUACCAAAGCCAAAAAACGUCUUCAACCACCACGCGUAUAUAUCCUUCAAAACAAAUAAAAUAAUUGCCCUGCAAACGCAACUUGAUUUUAACCGCUGCCAUCUUCCCUCAUUUGUUCCUCUCUUCUCCCUCAUCAUCUCCACCUUUCUCCCAUCCAUUAUAAAUCCUUAAAUUCAGUAACUUAUAAUUAGUACUGGGAAUUUUGCUUCACAUAUUGGAUUGAUUCAAGACCAAGGAAACUUAGCAUCACAAGGUACGGCUUUCUUUCUCUAUCUUUAAAUUGUUAUAAACUUCGUCUGGGUAAAAUUAAGUUGUCAAAAUCAGUAAUUUGGUGAACGGUUAUAAAAUCCAAGUCUUGCAAAUUGUCUCUUUGAUUUGUCCUCUUGAAGCUUCUUAUUUGAUUAAUUAUACCAAGUGAGUAAUCUAUUUGGAGAGUGUCUUACAAGUAUGUUUGUAGCAACAAAUACCCUGCAAUACUGCAUUUAAGAACAAACUACCUACUGCCAACGGGGUCUAGCCUAGUGGUAAAGGGCCUUGACUUGCAGAUCAGAGGUUUCAGGUUCAAAUCUCACGGCAUCAUAGUAGUGUGUGUGUGAGAAAUCCCCCACCCCUGUAGUUUAGACCAUCACUUGUACUAAAAAAAAAAAAAAACUAUUGAACAAACUACCUACUACAUUUUAUUUCUAAUUUCUUGUUAGACUUUUUAUAGCUUUGGCCGAUCACUCUUUUUUUUUUCUUUUUUUUUUGGUUGUGAAAUUAGUAAAAUAGUAUUUUUAAAUUGAGGAAUUAACAAUUUUAAUUCGGUCUAUAGAUUAUAUUAAAAAAAAUGAUGUUCUAACAUGUUAUAUAUUGCUAGACUACGAACCACGAGUAUUCUCUUUCACUGAAUAAUCGGUGAAAAUUUCCCUAACAUAUCCAUCUUGAACUUUGUAUUCUCUCUUUCAGGAAGAGUUAUGCAUGGCUUCUUUGUGGUGCAAAAAGUCUCCAGAUUGCAGUAAAAUUCGUGGAUACAUCCUGCUUUUUGUUAUAGUGGUGAGUCUAGCAACAGUCAUCGGAUUUUCUCUCUGGUUCUUAGGCAACUAUGUGGAUUCAAAGUCCGGCCCAGGAACAGACCCCCUUGUGCUUCGUUUGGAUGCAUUUUCUCUAUCGAAUUUCGAGGUUUCGAAUUCAUCAUUCUCAGCUGAAUGGGAGGCCAAGUUGACAUUUGGGAACCAAAACGGUGGCCUAACUGUUACCCUCAACCCCUUUGAGAGUUAUGUGUUCUAUAAAGAACGUGAGGCUCUAUCAUGUGCUUCUGUGGAUGCAAUGUUGCAUGUUCCUCCAAGGAAACAGAAAACUCUGCAGAUCAAAUUUGAUCCGACAAGUUGCGGAGGAGAACAGCCGUAUGUGGAGGAUCGAGUGAUGAAGGAGUUGAGUGAAGAUCGAAAGAGUGGUCACCUUAGCUUUAGUUUGAAAAUGCGCAUAGAUGCUUCUUAUAGUAUGAGGGAGCUUUUGGGAAUGGGAACCCAAGUGACUUUAAAUCCUAACUGUUCAGGGUUGAAGGUUCAGUUUGAGGGUGCAAAAGGGGAGGGAAAGAUAAAUGGGGGCCGCAAGUGCACCAUUCCAUUACCUAAAUGAUCAUGCAAUUCUUACCGUAGGUAAGGGCCGGCUCUGAAAUUUUAAGGGAUUAUAGCAGGCGAAGAUAAGCUCAUGAAAUAGGAUUAAUGUAAAUUUCGUAUAGAUAAGUUGUUUAUUUCAAAAAAAUUGAGUCCUUUUUACUUGGGCCAGAGCACUUGAAAAAAGUAGGCAAAGCCCAACUUGUGAGAAAUUCUUGUGAUUUAAAAGUAGCAGGUUUUGCUAUAUAAGGAAUUAUUAACUCAACAAGUAACGGAUGUCACGUAAAAGGAAAUCAAAUCAAUGUGAUUUAAUUUUCUGGUUUUCUUCUCAUUUUAAAUUUUAAGCACCCUUGCAUUAAAUCAUUGAGUUUAUGCCAAAGGAUGCCAAUUAGCAUUAACACUGAGCUUAUCCAUUUUUGACCUCCAUGAAUUAAUGACAUAAAUUUUUUGAACCAAAAUGUGCACUGAUUCUCUGAAUUUGACUGCCAUUUCAAUAUUAGUUUUUCCCAAUACUCUCCCAUUCACACCUUAACUCAUUGCAGAAAAACAAAAAUGGGCCCUUUGUGGUCUCGUCGCCACAAGGCACUGGCGGAAGAAAUGUCCUUGAAAUUGGCUGCUGCUACAAUCCUCAUCACAUUACUUGCAUUUGUCACCACCGUAUGCUUGUCGUUGAACGGCGGCGUUCGAACAUAUCCCAUUGCCAUUGCUCAGCACUCUUUCUCUGUCUCAAACACAACGAAACUCGUCUCUGAACUGCAGAGCGCUGUUUGGGAUGCAGAGUUGAAGUUCAGCCAGAACAGUGAUCUGCAAGUUCACAUCAAACACUUUCAGGGCUUCGUGUACUACCCGAAAUUCGAACCGCUGUGGUGUGCCUCACUGAAGCCAGUGGACGUUGAGUUCAGGAGCCCAAAUGGGCUGCACAUAAGAUUUGAUAUGAGAGAGUGUGGGGAGGAAGGGCUCGGGGUUUCGACAGAGGAAGCUCUGAAGGAGGUUCGUUUGGAAAUGAAAAUGGACCUGGUUGUGCCUUACCAGUUUGGAAAGACCAGAAUUUGGGCCUGGCUUUGGGGAUUGAGUGUUGAAGAAUCUUGUUCUGAGUUGAGAGUUGAAUUUGUGUCUUCGGUUGGAGAGGGGAAACUGAUUGGUGAGGGAGGAUGGUGCUUUGUUCCAUUGCCUGAGUAAUUUUGAGUUAUGAUCAACUCAUGCCAAUCUAAAUAAUCUUUGUUUUUGCUUCCCCUUUUAUUUAAUUUUGUUUUGUUUCUCCUCUAAAUUAUUACCUCACAGAAUUAGGCAUCAAGCAGACAGACACAAAGAAGAGAGUUUGAGUCUCCACUCUCCUCUCUUUUUUUUUUAAUACGCAGAAAAGAAAAAUAUGAAACUGACAGGAUCACCCUCCAUUCAUACUGAAGGAGACGAGGUUACGUGACUUUGCAGUUUUCAUAGUGAAGUUUGAAAAGGGUCAAAUAAUGCCAAGAUUUUGUCACUUUCUUCGUUUCAAUGUUAAAUGUCCUCGAUUAUCACAAUCAUGAUUCAUCACGCCUCGUUUACUUCUUUAGCUUUUAUUUCCAUGUUCGAUUAAUUUCUUAAUCCCUUCAUUUUCUCCCUUGAUUGUUUCCUUUAAAUAUUCUAGUUUACCAUUUUUAGUAUAAUUCUCUUGUAUUUUUAGUUUUCCGUGUUGGAUUAAUUUCUUGUAUAAAUACUGAAUUCUGCUCCCAGUAGCGCUAUGGGCACCAACUUUUUUUAUCAAUUUUUUGAUACCAACUUAUGUAGCAACUGACAUGGCAAUUCAAGUCAUUUGCCACCUCAUCUAUUUUAUUUGAAUAAUUUAAAUUAAUGCACAUAAUCUAUUUUAAAUUAAUUUAUUUAACUUUUAUAUAUUUAUCUCUUCUCAAGUCAUCUCCAUCAUCCAUUCCCAGCCAACAGCUCCUCCAUCGUAGCACCGCCACGAUCAUGAUGAUAGCAAAUUGAUGGUUACGUUUAUAGAUGAUAAGAUGAUGCUCAUCUCUGAUUUUGGGUUUUGGACAUUUAUGGUUCCUGGAUUUGGUUGAGAGUAUGGCGAGGAAGAAGAAUCAAAGGAGAGUAAAGGCAUGAGCAUAUAUAUAUAUAUAUAUAUAUAUAUAUAUAUAUAUAGUUCUGAUCUUUUGGACCACAGGAGUCCAAGAAAUUUGUGGUCACUCACCGUUGGAUGUAAAUUCAACGGUUCACUCACUCUUGCACUCAUUUUAAAAAACUUUUUUCAACCAUUGGAUUAAUAUCCAACGGUAGAUAACCACAAUCUCUUAGACUCCUGUGGUCCAAGAAAUCAUCGGGACUAUAUAUAUAUAUAUAUAUAUAUAUAUGAAUAGAGUUGGUGAAUCAUAGGAUCUUAUAUGCAGUCUCACACCGAUCACAUCCCAUAUAUUUGGUUUUUCUUUGGAUGAUAAUCACUGGUUUUCUUUGAACUUGGCUGGAAAACUAUUAUUGCUUUGUUGAUUAUUAAUAUUAUUGUAAAUUCUACAAAACAACUAAUUACGUUGAUACUAUGAUUGGUAUGAAAACAUUGAGGAUUUAACAAAUCAGUUAAGAGAGGUGUGAUGAGAGCUCUUCAAUGGAAGGAAUGAUUAUUGAGUUUCUAGGGCUUUUUUGGGGUUGGGGAAGGGUUCACCGUUGAACCAAAACUUAUGGGUAUUUUUCUUUCUUUUUAUUUUGUUGGACAAUUUCUCUUUCUUUUCUUUUUUUUCUUUUUUCUUUGUUCAGGAACAAAAUGUGUAAUUAAAAAAAAUGACAUGGCAAAUGACAAGGAUUGCAAUCUCAUGUACUACAUCUAUUGGAGAAAUUAUAGAAUGCUAUUGUAUUACCAUGUCAGCUAAUUAUACUUCCAUUCAAAAUAUGUCAUACGUCAUUUUAAAAAAAGUAUAAUUUUUUGUUUUACAGCUGGACUUUUGCCCUCUAGAAUAAUAUUUGAAAAAACAAAAAAACCAAAGACGCCGGAAACCAACUCCCACGACAACUCAAAUCUUCCUACCUUGCACUACCAACCACCCAACCCAAUCGCCCAAGGGUUUUGAUUGGCCACCUGGUUAAUCUAAAACAAGAACCACAUAAAGAAAUAACUGGAAAUAACAAUAACUGAUUAUUCCCUUUGUGGUUUCUGUACAAAUGAUUAUCAACAAACCAAAAAAAUAAAAUAACCAGCACACUAUAGAAACCUGUCGAGUCCCUAAACGAGCUUCAUAAUCCAUGGACUAUUGGGUUGGUGGAAGAAGUGCGAGGAUGGGGAUUGGGUUGUGGUGGGAGGUGGUUUCGAGUGGCUUCUUUGGGUUUUUCCUUUUCUAAAUUUUUUUAAUAAAAAAGUCUUAUUCUACAGUUAAAAGAAAGUAUUAAAUUCAGCUGUAAAAAAAAUUAUAAUUUUUUAAAAAAACAUGAUAUAUAGCAUAUUUUGAAUGAAAGUACCGCUAGCUGACGUGAUAGUACAGUAUCAUUCUAUAAUUCUCCAUGUGUUGGUAUCAAUUAAUUGGUAAACAAGUUAGUGCCCGUAGCAUUAUUGUUUUGCUCCUUUCAAUUAGGGAUGAGCAUUGGUGGAUCGAACAGGUUUGGACGUUACACAUCAUGUGAAUCGGAUUUAUAACCACCGAUACAUCGACAAGUCCAACUCAGUUGAUUUGCGGGUUGGGUCAGGCAGGCACCGCAAGUUGGAGGAAGGUGAAACUUGCACAGAGCCAAAUAGAUGAAGCCUUGAAGAUGGAACUUUGAACUUGGUUGGUAGGUGGCUAUGGCGGGGCGACAACUAUAUCAAGAGACAAUUUCAUAUUUGGGAGUGAGGGAAUGAGGGCCACGUCAUGUUCAUGUAUGUAACUUGCAAAAAAAUUGUACAAUUUUCCAUGGGAAAAUUAUGCUCUCCCCACGUAGCUUCUCCUCUAAUAGUUGAGGAUGAAGGAGAUAAGCAAUCAGACAAUGGGAAAAUUUUCAAGUAUGGUGUUUCGGGCAGAGGCACUCAGAAAACACACCUAAGUAUUCCCCUAAAUAAACUCAUGCUUGCAACACAUGAUCUUUAAUGUGUGCCAUUGUUCGUGGCCAUGAAGAUUGACAUGGGGGUGCUAAUAUGCCAAUUUUGCUAGCUAUAAUCCUUUUGUCUUCAUCACUUAUUUCCUUAACAUAGAUUACAACUCCUAAUUAAUUACCUUGUCCUACGCUCUUUCCGCGGCUUUUCACAGCACACCCACCUAUUUUUACACUCUCAUUUCCUUCAAUAAUUAAUCUCCCUCCAAUACACAUUUUAAUCCCCUACCCCAAAAACUCCCUCCUUCUCUCUCUCUCUCUCUCUCUCUCUCUCUCUCUCUCUCUCUCUCUCUCUCUCUCUCCCGGAAGAUUCCUGAGAGAGAGAACGAACAUCCCGUAUAUAUAAUUAAUAGCAGCACAUAUGGCUUCCACAACCGAAACUAAUCAACCCCGCUCCUCCGACCAACCCGCAACACAAUCAUCAGAAGCCCACCAACCUCGAGCCCCCAUUGACCCCUACCCCCCGCCCGCCGGGGGCACCUAUCCGCCAUCCAACAUGAGCUACGCGCACCCACAAGGAUACCCCACCGUAGCGCCCCCCUACCACGGGUACCACCCGAGCGCCUACAACCCUUAUUACGGGGACCCCUACUACACCACCACCUCCUACAACCAAGCUGACGAGGCCGCCAGCAGCUGCUUCCGGUGCUUCUGCAUCAUCAUGUUCCUCCUCGUCAUCUUCACCCUCCUUGCCAGCAUCGUCAUGUUUGUCGUGGUCCGCCCGGAAACCCCGGCCUUCAAGGUCGAGUCCUUUAGCGUCUCCAACUUCAACCUCGUCCCAGGGAGCAAAGUGCUCUCCGGGAAAUGGGAGGCCUCCAUCUACGUGGACAACCCCAGCUACAGGAUGAAGUUGGAGAUAGACAGGUGGGAGACCUCCCUGUACCACAAGGACAACUAUCUCGCGAUGGGCUCCGUCAUGCACUCCAUGAAUCUCGAAUCUCGGUCAAAAGGCACGAUGCACAUGAAGAUGGAGACGUACAAUACAACGGCGAGCAGCGCGGUAGAGGACAUGGAGAAGGAGCAGAAGGAGGGCGGGAACGUGAGCUUCAAUUUGAGGUUGACGCUUUCGUACGACAUGAAAGCCAGUGGUUUUUUGUAUAAUCACUAUAGUAACUACAGAAGUGGGACCCUCCGGGUGAAAUGCUCGGAUUUGAAGGUGCCGCUGCCGGCGGGGUCAAAUACUGGCAGCAUGCCCAGUGGGAGCUCGAAGGCAUGCGAUAUCUCCGAUGGUUUCUGAUUAUUUAGUCAUAGACGAGAAAUGGGUCGGAUAUUUUUUGUAUGGUCUCUCGGUCUCAUUUACUUUCUUCCCAUGUCUCCUCCAUAUGUGGGAAUUGUGUAUUUGGCUAACUUAUAUUAGACGAAGUCAUAUGUUCAUAAUUUUAGAAACCCUUAAAUCUGUUAAUUUUAUUGUAGAAAAUUCUUUAGACUAUUGUUUCUAGGAUUUCUUGUGCUUUGUUUAAUUUUAAUUUUGUUAUAACUAUAUAGUGACACAUAAUGACUAACUCGGGAUCUGACCGUAUUUCUCUUUUCAGUAUUAAAAGGCAUUAGUCAUAUUAUUUCAUGUUUGUAUCGAAUUACACAAUACUAACCGAAGUUAUAGAAGAUUCUUAAUCCAUUCAUUAAUCAUGUAUGGUUAACUAAAUGCAAAAUUUCUCAACUUUAACAUAAGUUACUCAUUCUUUGAUAAAAACAUAUAUAUAGUUUAUAUUCAAUUGAAUAUGUUUGGAUAAAUUUUAGCUUUCGUUAUUGACCAAUGAUAUGGAGAACACUGCACAAUGUGAUCCGCGAUCGUCCCUUCAUGUCUAUUGUUUUUGAGGCACUUUGCAAAUAAGUCUCUCCAAAUUCUAUUUCAUAAUCAAAUUUGAACUAAAAAAAUAAACCUUUAGACCCGACUUUUAUUGAAUCUAAUAAUACCAAUUGAUAGGUCAACAGCGUUUAGCUCACUGAAAAAGUGAUAUUGACAGGAGAAUAAUUAUGUAGUUUAGACUAUUCAGUCCUGAUCUCUCAGACCACAAGAGUCCAAGAAAUUGUGGUCACCCACCGUUGAAUAUUAAUCCAAUGGUUCAAAAAAGUUUCUUAAAAUGAGUACAAGAGUGAGUGAACCGUUAAAUUUACAUCCAACGAUGAAUGACCAUAAAUCUCUUGGACCCCUGUAGUCCAAGAGAUCAGAACUGCUAGACUAUUAUCACCAACAUUAGGAUGUGUAUUGCACUAAUUGUGUUUUUUCUUCGUGAAAAAGCUCCAUUAAACGAGUUGACAAAACAUCUAUAAAAAGUGUUAGGCUCAACAUUAUGCUUAAAGCAAAGGCCACCAAAAAAAAAAUAACGAAGUAGGAGUCCAACAAACACGCAUAUGUCCAUUUGGGCUUUAUCGAUUCAAAUACGCGGAGCGGGUAACCGCGAACCCGAACCCGCUUCGCAUAAGAAACAGAUAGGGACAAUGACGAGCCGACAAGUGUCACCACCGUAGAAGGCGGGGAGAGAUUCCUCAGUGCGGCGCUUCAACUUAAGUCUACGCCCUCUGCCAAACAAAAAAGAAUACAAAAAGAAAAAACAUAGAAUUACGCGUUAUUUGCCAAGCAAUUCUAUCAACAAUCAAACUGUAGCCCUCAAGCAACUUUGUGCUCUCAGAAAUUUUUUUUUUUUUUUUGUGGUAAUUUUUUUUCGCAUAGUAUAUCUAUCGUAUCGACCGACCAAACACCUCCUCCUCUACCUCUACGCCUACCUUUUAUUUUUUCCUUACCUCUCUGUCUCUUGGAAACCAAAAACUCAAUUAGCUCUCUCCGCUCUCAAAUGGCUACCUCAGCUGCCGGCGCCGAUGAUGGUCGUAACAAGACGGUGACCGGCUACCCAGUUGAGCAGGGUCAAUUCGCAGCCGGCUACCCAGCCGCCGGAGCCUACCCCUACGUGGCCCCACCGCCGCCUCCUCACGCCAACACUUACCGGCCCAUGGGCCCACCUCCUUACUACGCCCCUCGGCCCACUGGGCCCAUCACGCCCAAUAGGCCCACCCUCCUCUGCCGCCUCCUCAUUGCCGCCAUCGCCGUCUUCGCCAUCAUGUCCCUCGUCUUCUUCAUCGCCUGGCUUGCACUCCGCCCCCGCCUCCCCGAGUUCCGGGUCGAAUCGGCCUCCGUCUUCCCGCUCAACGCCACUGGCUCCGAGCUCACCGCCACCUGGGACCUCACCCUCCUUGCCAACAACCCCAACCACAAGCUCAGAAUUUACUACGACAGCAUCCAGGCCUCACUAUUCUACGGCGACGAUUACCGGCUCGCCACGACGUCGUUGCCUCCCUUUGUUUUGACCAAGAGGAACCAGACGCGUGUCGGGUUCAAGCUGGCGACGGUGGGGGAGUACGUCGGCAAUUACGUGGCCAAGGGGAUCUCCGACGAGAGGGAUCGUGGGUCGGUGAGGUUCGGGCUAGGAGUUUUUGCUUCGGUUCGGUUUAGGUCUGGAGUGUUCCAGUCGAGGCCUCGCGUGUUGCGGGUCUUCUGCGAAAGGGUCGAUUUCGGGUUUGCCCAGAAGAAUGGGACGGGGACUUUGACGGGUCAGUCAAGUCCGUGUGUGGUUGACGUGUGACUGUGAGUAUAAUUAGUCCAUUGGAUUAACACAAAUUGGUAAAUGCUAUAUUUAGUCGUUGUUCAUGAUUUUGGGUUAUGGAAUAUAAUUCGUGAUCUUCUGAAUCCAAUUUCUCUCUGUUCUUUUAUGCUAGCUAAUGAUAGUAUAUUUUUUUUCAAUUAUUUUAUUAUGAUUUCUACUAGUUUUCUUUGUUUUGGAGGUAAAUACCAUUUUCCCCGUUUUGCAUAUGCUAAUUGGCAUUUGAAGUGUUGAGAUGGGUUAGAUGAUAAUAUGGGACAUUGCCACAUUAGGUUUUGUAUUUGUGUUAGAAUAAAGAGCAAUGUGAUUGUUUUUAGUGUUCUGGGGCUUUGUCAUUGUGAUUCAAACUCCAGAGCCAGAGACUGUAGGGUAUUGAGUGUUGCUUGGUGAAGCUUUAAUCGAGUGUUGACUCAUUUGGUAGAGAUGCAUAAAUGCAUUCUGAAUGGAUUAUAGGGUUUUCCCUCCACCCUUGAAUGCCACUUACCACACAGUCACAAGGAAAAAAGUAAGUGCGCACCAACCGUAGUUGUCUCCAAGCAUAACAUUUGAAGAAACUCAUCCCUAUUGUUUGUUAAUGAUAUCAAACCAUUGUUCGUGCCUUCAAAGAUUAUGCGCUUGAGAAGAAUGGUAAAGACUUUAUUUAAGCAUUGGAUUUGUGGUAGUGGCUACUAAGCCUCUCUGUUAGGAUGUCUGUUUUAUUGUGCUUAAUGCUGGUUGUAAGUCUAGGGUUGUGAUUCAAGCUGUUGUCUUGUGAUUCAAGUCAAUAGUAUUGGAACAGUACAAGAUUUUCCUGGGGAAGGGGAGCUUGGUCUACUAGGAACUAGCAAGUAGUGUGAUUUUACCUAUGUAUUGAGAAAUUGUUUAUUGUUUUGCUCUCGAAGAAUUAAAACGAAUCUCUCUACUUACUUCAUCAUCGUAGAGAUCAAUUCUUUUUAUAGGAGUUUGGUGUUAUUUGUUCUCUCUCUCUCUCUCCGCCCAUAGGAUAACAUCAUAAUGUUUAUCUUUUCAGACUCUGAAUUUGUGCUCAUGUAAAUGUGGUGUUGAAUGUUUGCUUGUAAUGGUCGAAUUGUGCUUUAGGCACUACUGUACGAGUAACGAUUAAGAGGAGUGGCUAGGUAAAGACUGUAGUUGCAGUUAAUUUGACUUCCAAACCAUUUCUACUACAAUGUUAAGUUUCAUAGUAGGUUAUGAUUUGGGUUCAGUUGAUAUAUGAUAAUAAUAGAACUGUUGUCAAAUGUAAAGUCAUUCUCUUUCUGAUUUUGUAGCUGUUGUCAAAUGUAAAGUCAUUCUCUUUCUGAUUUUGUAUUUACUCCUUUCCUGGCUGCUUUCCAUUUAGGUUUUUUCCUUUGAAACUCAGCUGCAUGUCUUCUUGUAGGAGAAAAAACACCAAACUUUUGUUCUGGCAACAUUUUAAUUACGUCAUACUGUAUUGCAUGUUUUCUGCUCCAUUUUAACUGUGUCAAUAUGCUGUUAAGUUGGCCAAACAGGGAACUUUUUAUGUUUGCUCUGUACUACUACGUCAAAGCUUGCCUGUAUUAGCUUUCACACUUUCAGUAUAGUUCUGAGCUGAUGUAGUUGCAUUGUUAUUGUUGAAGUUUUGAUUUUGAAAAAUUCAGAAUUUUGGGCUCAGAAGCCAUGCGAGGUUGGAGAUUAGAAAAGGGGCAUUGCUCGUCUUGCCCAAUGCGUUGAUGUUACUUGUUUUUAAUACUUAAGAGAAGCAAUUAUGUGCUUCUGAAGUCUCUUAUCAUACUUGAAUUUUAGUACUGGUUUUAAACUAUUAAUCUAGUGAUGCCAAACACUGUCCUUUUGUCCUUGAUGCUGAAGUGGUUUUAGUUUUACUUUGAUUUUGAUGAUUUCAUUUCUGAUGUUUAUAGGUGUUAGAGGUUAAUGUGUGUUGAGAUUGUUUUUCUGCUCUUUUAUUUUCUGUUUGUGGUUGAAACUUGAAACAUAGAAUCAGUUUCCAAAAAAUUGAAUUCAGUAUUUCAGGUUGGUACUGUAGUUCCUAUGAUUGGUGACAUAGUUGUAGCUCAACAGGUAGUUCAUAUUUUCCUAAUUUUAAAAGAACUUUUUAUUUUAAAGGUCCUUUUAGUGACAUUUUUGUUUUUUACUUUUAAGCUUUUCUUUAACGAGGUAGAGGGGGAGAGGUGGACGGUUCUUAGGAGAAAGGUGAGGGAAAAAGGAGAGAAAAAAUACUUCAAAAGUUCUAAAAAGUAAAAAAGCAAUUUAAAUGGCUUUUAGCCUGUUACUUUUAAUUCUCUCUACUUCUCCUGUCUUGUUCAUCUCUUUCAUCUCCUCCAUCACUUUAAUUUUCUAUAAAAGCUGUUAUCAGGGAUGCCUUCACUCCGCGUUUUUCUUUUGCUGGCAUUUAUGUAGUAGGCUUCAUCUAUUAAAGAGUUAUGAUUAAUCAAGGCAUGAGGCAUCAGUUUCAGUUAGGCGAAAUUAGGUUUUCAACGAAGAAAUAAAGCCUUACAAGUUCCUCGUCAUUACUUGCAUGUACUUUGCUUUUGAACUAUUCCAUCAUCAGUUCAACAAUUGAUUGAUGUGUAGAAUUUGGUCUUGGGUGUAUUGACUUGAGAUAGGUUGAAGAUGUAUUUAGUUGGUCCAUGCUUAGAGCUCUGAUUUGCUGGCUGAAAUGGUUUAACUUUUGGAAAUUUUCCUCUCUAUUUCACCGGUUGUACAGAAUCAUGUGUCUAUUAUGACGUGACACCUUAACGACCCUAAACUCGGACUAGAAAGAGUUCAAUCCCUCCCUCCUAUAUAUAAGUAUUAGCAAUUGUAUAGGUAUCUUUGGUUCCACCGCUUGUUUAAGUAAGGAGGCAGUGGGAUGAAGUGGUUGCUUGGCCGACAGAGCUUUCUGGGGUGGCCUAAAUAACUUUAUGAAAGCCUAUAUAUUAUGCAGAUAGCAUUGGCAAUGGAAUUAUUUAUAAACUAAUAACACUUUGAUUAUAUCUUAUAAACAUGAUAAGAUUCUCAGACACGAUAAUAGUGUACAUAUUUGUAUAUCUCCAGUUGGACAUGAUUAGGACGCUAGUGGAUUGAGAGAGAUUGACAUUGAUUUUUAGUGCAUGUAAAAGUAAUUGUGUAAAUAUCUGGGAUGUUUCUUCUUUUUUUUCUUUUUCUUUUUUUCUGUUUUCUUAUGGGCCCGUGAAGAAACAGCAUUGGAAUGAAAAUUCUGUGUCCAAAUUAGGAACGCGUGAGGGAUGAGACAUGGUUGCCCUUUGUCAUUUUCUACUGCUGAUUAGGACAAUCAGAAUGUGGAGGGAGCUAUUUGAUUGAUGAUUGAACAUAAGAAACUAAUCAAAUUAUCUGUUGUGAAGUUUAAUAAAAGAAGAGACACAAAUCUACAAGUCUCACGCAAUGAAAGCUAAAUCCAGAUUUAUUUUUGUAAGAAAACAAAGUCGUCCUACUAGCAAUUGACUGAUUUCACUUGACCAAAAGGUUGGGAUAGCAAUUUUUCCCGUCACACCCAAUCUCCACAUUGAUCUGUCCCGAAUGGGAUGGGGAUUGAGGCUUCUGCCCUUUCUCCAUCCCAUUCCGUUUUACAACUAUCAUGUUAAAGAAUGAUAAUUGUUUUGUUGACUCUUAAAUUUAAGCUUUUAUGAAUGGGAUGUGGAAUUCGAAUCUCAAUGAAGAAGACGAUAUCCAAUAGGGUUUGAGGCGGGAUUGUGGAUAUUUAACUUUUAUGGGGAUGGGGAUGAGUGUGAAAUAAUUGUUUCUUCGAGUAAAUUUUGUUAGGGGUAUAACUUACCACGAAGCUACAAACCCAACAUUAUUGCAUAUGUUUCUUCCUUUGCAGGCGAAAUAGUCCUCUGGGAGGGUGCAAAGGAUAGGAAGCUUCUCACUGGCCAUGUGACGGCAUGUGGAAAAUACGUAACAAAAGGCUUUACUUGGUGGCGUUUACACCUACGCCAUUAUUAUUAUUAGGCACCAUUUUAUAUUUAUAUUCAAAACUCAAAGCAGUGCAUGAACUGAUGCAAAAAAACAAAAACAAAAAAGAUUUAGGGGCUUUUAAGAUAUUUCCAUGUUGAGUCGGUUAGCUUGGCAAGUCAGUUUGAUCUUAAGGCUUUUCAUAAUUCAUUCAUAAUGUAGGAAAACACUUAAAAGGAAAGUGAUUGCUUGCAUAAUUACUUAUGAUAAUUUUGAUCUCCAUUUAAAGGAAAGUGCUUGGAUGAUCCCCUUUUUUUUUUCUUCUCAAAACUUGCUUUCAAAGUUCAUUUUCCAUCAUAUUUCAACUCCUUUUCUUCAAGAUACUUCUACCAUCAUACAUCAUAGAUGCAUCCAAAUGACUAUCUAGGGUUCAUUGGCUCAUCAUCACCCACUAUUAGUUUCACUUUUUUAUUAAUAGGGUGAUCAAUUACCCUUCAAACCAAUUCAAGACAGCUUAAUCAACCCAAUUAGAUAGUCAUCAUUUUGUGUCACCAAGAAUAUUAUCCCUUUCUUUCACCUCCAUGUCUUUUCUUCCCCAUUUUUCUUCUCAUUGUUUUUGGAACUCUCCCCUUCUUAGAAUGACCCACCAAUCAAAGGGUUUCUUUCUUCUCUCUCCCCCAAUGCUUUAUUCCACCAACUUUUUGUUUUUGUCUCUUUCAUUAACCCAUGGUUAACAGAAAGAAGCAUAGCCACAGAUUCUAGUCAGAUUUUAGCAGCAAAGCGCAUGAAGACAACAAACGAAUCCAUUGGGUGCAAGUUGCAUAGAACAAUUUUGGCUUUGGGCAUUCAUAUUAACCACAAAGGUUAGGUUAAAAGUUAAUUGUGAUUUACUUAACAGAGAUUUAAACAGGAAAUUGGGAUUUGGUGGUUUCAAAGAAGAUCUUGUAGGGACAUUUGUAAUUCCCAAAGUAGGGAUAAAGAAUCAGCAUGGAUGUCAGUGCAAGUGCAGAAGAGAAUACCUUUGUGUGUGUAGAAUCUAGUAGGCAUUGGCCACAAACCACCCCACCCUUCUUUAUGGACAUUUGGGGAUAUCCUUGGCUUCUUUUUGCGGCUUCCAUGUUUUGUAAAAGUGCUUUUACCCAAGGCAUUUUCUUCUUGUUUUUAUGAGAAAAUUGAGAGAAUCAGCAGCAAAGAAUUUGGUAAAGGGCCCUCUGCAUUCUCUGGAAACUGCACUAAGUGUACUUGGUUUCUUUGGCCACAGUACAUAAGAGAUGCAACAAGAGGAAAAGAAAACAAUCAAAUAAGUUCUACAGCACCAAGUACCAAAUAAUUGAACUCCAACAUGUCUAUGAGUAAGGCUCCAAUGAUUCAAAUUUUGGGUUUGGUCGUACCCAAAUAGUAAUAUUCUAAAGGAAAAUGCAACUAAGAUCAAAUAUUUCGAGCCGCUUCCGUGAAAAAUUCAAACUUUCUUUUUUAAUACUUCAAUCACAUAAAAAUAUAAACUUUGAGAUUCAAUAGCUAAAUACAUGGCAAUUGAAUCAUGAGCCGAGAUCAUAAAGAGCAUACAAGUAUACAAAGUGGAUGUCAUUGUAGGUGUCAAAUGAGUGAAGAAGAAGAAAAGAGUCAUGUGCUUUUAGGUGUGCCAACUAAUAUUAUCUUUCCAUGGUUUGAUCUCAAGUCUCAUAUCUGGAUGUGGUUUUCUUCUCUUUGGAUUUAUAUAUGACAAUAUAUAUAUAUAUAUAUAUUUAUAUUUAUAUAUAUUUUAAAAAAACAUUUAAAACACCCAAAUUUAUACACCAGUCAUAUUUUAUACUGUAUUUCUUUUUUCUAAUAUUAUAACACUUAAAGAAAACCCAAGUAAAUGACAAAUAGUGUAUCAUAUCCACCCACCAUCUAAUAAUGCUAAAUUAGUAGAAAGUUAAGUCUUUUUUUAGCAGUGUUUCUUUCAUUUGAUCCAAGACUUUUCUACAAGAGGCCUAUGUCAGAAUUAGUUAUUUGAUUUCAUAAGACUCUGCCAGAAUUUGACUCAGCAACAACCAAUUUCUAACCAUGUGUCUUCAAGCCAAGAAAUAAGACAAAGUAGGCCCUUCUGAAGAUUUCAACUUUUGUGAAUUGCUUAACUUUGAGCAAAUUGAUGGUGCAUAGAAGAAAUUUGAUUCCCUAUAUUUUUUUCUUCUCACUUGCUAAUAUCCAGUCAUUCGGUUGCAAACGACAAUGACUUUCAUUAAAUGAAAAUUGUUUCAUAGGAAAACAUCCAAAUGGUUAAGAACUUAAAGAAAGUUGAUGUUUGAAGUAUAUUUUAGAGAGGGGAUAAGGAGAACAACACUUUCAGAAACAAUGAAGGAAGAGAAAAUUUUAUAUAUUGAUUAAGAUUAUCGACCUGAUAACGAGAGAUUCACCUUAAUCAGCGACUCAUUGUCCGUACACAUAUCAAUAAUUUUCAUGUAACGUAAUCUUGUUCGGCAAGCUUCUAUCACCAUUUGAGAGAGAGAGAGAGAAAAAAAAUUGUAUAAAAUUAAGAGGUAGAUAAAAAUUGGUCAUAGGUUUGGUCAUUGGUGGUUGAGGAGACUUUUAGAGCUCGAUGUCGAUACUAAAUGUGUGAAAAAACACAUCAUGGUCUUGUAGUUCAUAUUCACACUUGCCAACCGACAUAAUCAAUUUCUAGUUUCUACCAUCAAUAAUGUAUUGGAGUGUAGUUUGGUUUGGUGCUUUUAACUAAAAUUAGUACAUGUAUUGAAAUUAUUGCUCUCUUUUUUUGUUGCCCACGUACCCUUUUACCAUCUGCUGGGAAAGUGCAGUGCAGCUAACCCUACUUUUCCUUGAUUAAAAAAUUAUUUUUAUAAAAUAAAUAAAUAAAUAAAAAAACCGUUCUCAAUGUUGUUUUCUAAGUAACAUUUUAGGAUUUUUAAAAAGCAAAACAAAAUAAUUAAAGAAACAAAACUGAUGAAAGAAAGGCUAACAAUUUUCUUUCUGGGAAAGCAAUGGGUUCUUUAUGAAAAAGGGUUUAAGCUUUUAAUCCACCCAAACAAAGUCUUUGUUUCUAAUUCAUCAGAGGUUAUGAAAUUUUCAAUACAUCCACAUCCAAAUCAUGUUUUUUUUUUUCCUUUUUUUUUUCUUUUUUUUUUUCCUUCUAUGUUGCAUCAUUGUUAGGCUUUAGGCUUUAGGCUUUAGCUGGUGGGAGAAGUAAUAUUUUGGAACCCAGAGGUUUCCUCUGUCAUGAUAAGUGGGGCCAAGUGGGUGCAAGAGACGUGUCAAUUAGACUUUUCCCAUGUAUCCAUAUUCAAUCGGACGGUGGUGAAGAGUCUUGCUUUUCCAAACACUUUAUUGAAGUCACAAUCGGCCCAUUCACAUUCUAAAUUCUAGUAUAGAAAGAAAUUUUAAAAAAUAUGUUAUUUUCUUUAGGCUUUUUGUCUUUCUGAGUUGAUUAAGAAAAAGCAGUGAGCUUCACUUUUUGACUAAGCGAGCACAACACAACUGAGGGUCAUGGAUUAAUACAAUCGUACUCAUUAAAACUCAUUUAUAUUGUUUUUUUAUAUAAAUGAUAUUCUAUUUUAAUUUAUUUUAAACUACAUAGAGGGGUAUUCAAACUCGGAUGUAAACACUGAAAUUCACUUACAUUAACAAUGAAGAUCGAUGGCAGACAAUAUUAAUGAUAUUUUAUUACAUAUAUAACUAUAUAUCUUGAAGCUAAUGCCAAUAGCGUAUUACUUGGAUCUGGUUUUGAAAAGAAUUAGGGUUUGAGCAACAAGAUCUUUCUUAGUGACUUGAGCCUCUAUAGUUUAUUGAAUGGACUUUAAUUUUGAUUAGUUGUAAAAUAAAGAAGAUUAAUAACUUGUUUUGAAACACUGAAACACAUGAGGUUUUUGAGGAGAAUUAUGAAGAAAAGAUAUGAACCAACCAUUGAGAUAACAUGUGGGUGAGCUCGACAAACAAUUUGAAAUCCUGUUUGUUGAAUAAAGCCAAGCAUAGAAAACGAUUGGUCUUAACCCAUCACACCAUAUGGGCAUCUUAACUAGGACACAUCAUGCAGUGAACAAAAACCCAACAAAUUUCAUCUAAGUUAUUUAGAUCAAAUCAUAUAAAUAAUAAACCCAAUUAGUAGCUAUAAUUGAUGAGCCUUGUCAAGUGACACAUGAUGACAUAAGGUAUUUGUGUAAUUUAAUUGGUUAAUGCCCAUGGUUAUGAUUGAGUAAUAAGAAAAACCAAACAAUGCCUUGGUACUGAAAAUUGAUGGGUCACCAAUUUCCACUACCUUGCUACACUACCACCAAACAACUCAAAAGCAACCAAAAAGUUCUUUAAAAAAUAAAAGUUAUUGGUUAGUGCUGGUUAACGAUUUAUAAUAUUUGGUUCAUUGUCGAUUAUUUGAUUGUUAUUAUAAAUAUUAACUUUAAUAGACAGUUACUCAUAUAAAAAAUAGAAAUUCAGAGUAAUUUUGGAAUGAGACCGUAAUCUAAUAUUAAACAUUUUUUUUACGCGAAUAAAAAACUAAUUUUCCUCAUAAUUAGUGAAAGUACUUUGAAAUGUCCCUAAACACAUUACACCUACUUUAGCAUACUUGCUUUUCCACCAUACAUACAUGAUCACAUAGAUCAUCAUCAUCUUCAUUAAAAACCAUGUAAUAUAUAUACCCCCACACACAUCCCCAACCAAAGCUCAUUUACUAAAGGGUCAACUCUCAAACCCAACUCUAACUCAACUCCAACCGUCCUUCCUCUCUCUCUCUCAGUCUCCCUCUCCACCUCCACCGCAAACUACCGCGGCCGCCGCCAUGUCGUACAAGGACUGCGGCCAACACGGAUACAACAAGCGGCGAAGGAGGUUUAAACGCUGCUGCGCCGGGCUCCUAAUCUUCAACUUCAUCCUGCUCGUCACCAUCCUCAUCGUGUGGGCCAUCCUCCAGCCCUCCAAACCCCGCUUCAUCCUCCAAGACGUCACCGUCUUCAACUUCAACAACUCCGUACCCAACGUCUUCUCCUCCAGCUUCCAGGUCACCGUCUCCUCCCGCAACCCCAACGACAAGAUCGGCAUCUACUACGACAGGCUCAACAUCUAC
This 31614-nucleotide long non-coding RNA is filed under the name Prunus persica (peach). Its description in RNAcentral is "long non-coding RNA (PPER_LNC007341)". Lineage: Eukaryota; Viridiplantae; Streptophyta; Magnoliopsida; Rosales; Rosaceae. The record is from RNAcentral.